ACACCGGCAGCUCUAGUGGUAGCUGUUUUUAUUGGGCCUAAAGCGUUCGUAGCCGGUUUGAUAAGUCACUGGUGAAAUCCUGUAGCUUAACUGUGGGAAUUGCUGGUGAUACUGUUGAACUUGAGGUCGGGAGAGGUUAGCGGUACUCCCAGGGUAGAGGUGAAAUUCUGUAAUCCUGGGAGGACCACCUGUGGCGAAGGCGGCUAACUGGAACGAACCUGACGGCGAGGGACGAAAGCUAGGGGCGCGAACCGGAUUAGAUACCCGGGUAGUCCUAGCCGUAAACGAUGCGGACUUGGUGUUGGGAUGGCUUUGAGCCGCUCCGGUGCCGAAGGGAAGCUGUUAAGUCCGCCGCCUGGGAAGUACGGUCGCAAGACUGAAACUUAAAGGAAUUGGCGGGG
Molecule: ribosomal RNA, 401 nt
Filed under: uncultured bacterium
Lineage: Bacteria
Description: partial 16S ribosomal RNA
Rfam family: Archaeal small subunit ribosomal RNA
Source: RNAcentral